This 1016-nucleotide long non-coding RNA is filed under the name Gallus gallus (chicken). Its description in RNAcentral is "long non-coding RNA NONGGAT009006". The record is from RNAcentral. Lineage: Eukaryota; Metazoa; Chordata; Aves; Galliformes; Phasianidae.
CCGCCAGGGGAGCCCUGCGCUCCCCCUCAGCCCGCGCGCAGCCGCCGUGGCGCGGCGGGAACGGAAGGGAGGGGAUGGACGCCGCGCCGACGGUGCCCCCCGCCCGGGAAAAGUCAUCUCGGCGCGGAGGCAGCCCGAGAGGGGGCUGCAGUCGCUGGGCUGCCGCUGUCGCUGUCUCCCAGACCGGCGAAUGUGGCGGCCGUGCGUGAGGGAGCGGCGGGCUGUAGGGCAGUGCGUGAGGGGCGCUCCCACCUCGCUGCGCGGGCGGGCCGGGCUGGGGACGGAGGUGUGCCACCAUCCCGCCCUACAGCAGAGCCCACACAGCGCUCUGAUUAGCGAGCAGUUAUGGCCACUUUUUUCCCUCAUUUUUUAGGGCAGCCCAGUGGGGGGCUUCAUUAUGAGUGUGUGUGUUGCCCGUCUGUCUCUCGCCCUAGCAGAGACACGGAGUGCUGGGUCUGACCGUGCAUGUCUCACUAAUGCAAACCUGAGACAAAACCUUCAUCACAUGUCCUCGGUGCAGGCUGCAAGCCUACAGAAGCGAGGUUAGGCGUGGGACAGGCAGCGUCACAAGUGCAGGCACACAUCCUUGAGUCACUGGUAUUUGCAUACAUGGACAGACACGAGGGAUGAGCACACUCCAAACUGAGUGGCUAACUGAAAUGGGAAGUGUGGGUGCAAUGCUAAGCAAUGGAAAUGGGCAGGACUGUUUAUGGCUACAUAAACAUUGAUGUGUUUGCUUACUUACAGCUAAUAAAUUAAUGUUACCACUGAGACCAGUGACCUGUUUGUGAAACACUCCAAGCCUGAAAAUCAAGGCAAGUGAAACCGUAUCUUUCUCCAUCUAAAGUGCUGUAAUUUAAACAUUACUUUACUCUCUGUCUUCUUAUCUGGUAUGUACAUUUUCUGCUCCAGUGCAACACCUCAUAACAAGACUCACAUGGUUCUACACAGCUAGAUUUUUCUGUAGGAUCUGCUACAUCCUCUUCAUUGUGUUUUCCCCUGGCUUUCGCAGCCUU